UCAUUGUGCCUUGCUUCCCUCCCCUGCACUAUAGAGAAGAGGAAGGAAACUUUAAUAAGACAAAAUCUGUUCACACCCAAGGCAAUAUCAGAUCUUUAUACCUCGUAGGCUUAAGUUCCAAGGUCAAGAACGAGUU
Sorex araneus (European shrew) is the source of this 136-nucleotide non-coding RNA. The record is from Rfam. Lineage: Eukaryota; Metazoa; Chordata; Mammalia; Eulipotyphla; Soricidae.